Molecule: non-coding RNA, 73 nt
Filed under: uncultured Butyrivibrio sp.
Lineage: Bacteria; Bacillati; Bacillota; Clostridia; Lachnospirales; Lachnospiraceae
Description: Cyclic di-GMP-I riboswitch
Rfam family: c-di-GMP-I riboswitch aptamer
About the family: GEMM was predicted in a large-scale screen for bacterial structured RNA regulatory elements. Genes associated with GEMM are involved in a diverse array of functions, including chemotaxis regulation, signal transduction, secretion and chitin.
Source: RNAcentral
UGGGCAAACCUGUUGAAAAGCAGGGACGCAAAGCCAAAGGGCCUGAACCAGAGAUGGUGUGGCAGCCGGUUGC